UACAGAUGAGCCAAGCGUUGUCCGGAUUGACUGGGCGUAAAGCGCACGCAGGCGGAUGCGCGCGUGGGGUGUGAAAUCUGGCCGCUUAACGGCCAGGCGCCAUCCCAUACGGCGCGUCUGGAGUGAUGCAGAGGUCGAUGGAAUUGCCGGUGUAGUGGUGAAAUGCGUAGAGAUCGGCAGGAACACCCAGGGGGAAACCAGUCGACUGGGCAUCUACUGACGCUGAGGUGCGAGAGCGUGGGGAGCGAACCGG
Molecule: ribosomal RNA, 253 nt
Filed under: uncultured bacterium
Lineage: Bacteria
Description: partial 16S ribosomal RNA
Rfam family: Bacterial small subunit ribosomal RNA
Source: RNAcentral